UUCUUCAACUCCUCCCUCCCAAAACCCUUCCUCUAGGGUUUCUCUGUCUUGGAACCAUAUCUCUCAGUCUCGAUAGUAUCCGCCGUGAUCUUUUUGCGUAGUCGUAAGCAAUGAAGAUUAAGACGUUAUCGAGAUCGGUUGAUGAAUACACUCGAGAAAGAAGUCAGGAUCUUCAGAGGGUCUUUCACAACUUUGACCCAAGUCUUCGACCUAUGGAGAAGGCUGUGGAAUACAAGAGAGCUCUUACUGCUGCCAAAUUAGAAAAGAUAUUUGCAAGGCCUUUUGUAGGAGCAAUGGAUGGUCAUCGUGAUGGAGUCUCGUGUAUGGCUA
This is a non-coding RNA of Camelina sativa (false flax), 330 nucleotides long. Lineage: Eukaryota; Viridiplantae; Streptophyta; Magnoliopsida; Brassicales; Brassicaceae. The record is from RefSeq and is a predicted model, not a curated record.